Molecule: ribosomal RNA, 465 nt
Filed under: Vreelandella stevensii
Lineage: Bacteria; Pseudomonadati; Pseudomonadota; Gammaproteobacteria; Oceanospirillales; Halomonadaceae
Description: partial 16S ribosomal RNA
Rfam family: Bacterial small subunit ribosomal RNA
Source: RNAcentral
CCUACGGGUGGCAGCAGUGGGGAAUAUUGGACAAUGGGGGGAACCCUGAUCCAGCCAUGCCGCGUGUGUGAGGAAGGCCCUCGGGUUGUAAAGCACUUUCAGUGAGGAAGAACGCCUGGUGGUUAAUACCCAUCAGGAAAGACAUCACUCACAGAAGAAGCACCGGCUAACUCCGUGCCAGCAGCCGCGGUAAUACGGAGGGUGCGAGCGUUAAUCGGAAUUACUGGGCGUAAAGCGCGCGUAGGUGGCUUGAUAAGCCGGUUGUGAAAGCCCCGGGCUCAACCUGGGAACGGCAUCCGGAACUGUCAAGCUAGAGUGCAGGAGAGGAAGGUAGAAUUCCCGGUGUAGCGGUGAAAUGCGUAGAGAUCGGGAGGAAUACCAGUGGCGAAGGCGGCCUUCUGGACUGACACUGACACUGAGGUGCGAAAGCGUGGGUAGCAAACAGGAUUAGAUACCCGGGUAGUC